Molecule: long non-coding RNA, 3258 nt
Filed under: Mus musculus (house mouse)
Lineage: Eukaryota; Metazoa; Chordata; Mammalia; Rodentia; Muridae
Description: long non-coding RNA chr7:45599522-45602780
Source: RNAcentral
GUGUUUACUAGUGUAUUAAACUGUAAUAAACUGUGACUUGGGCCCAGUGUCAGGGUGCAUACUCUGUUGGUUUACAGACAAUUCAGCUAGGCUUCUCACAGGGACCUUAGCAAUAGGCGUCAUCACCUGCGCUGCUGCCAGAUGCAGGUGGCCUGACAAGAGAACUGCUCUGUACCAUAGCCCUCUCACCUCCUCUUCCCCUCCUCCUCCUCCUCCUCCUCCGCCCCUCCCCCUUCUCCCCACUUCCUUCACAGGUGUUCCUGCCAGCCUCUUUUUCUCUCUUUCUCACCUUCUCUGCCCUCGCAGCUCUGUCUGUCUCUACUCCUCCAGGUCCUCACUCCCCUCCCUUCCAAAGGUAUGAUGUCUCAGGGGAACACCUUGGCAUGGGCCUGCCAGGCACCUCUGCCACCGUUGCAUUACAUUUCAUAACAUACCCAUCAUCUCAGUAUUCAGGAGGAGGCUGAGGCAGGAGGAUUGUAAGUUUUUGUUUUUUUAAAGAAUUAUUUAUUCAUUUUAUGUAUCUGAGUACACUGUAGCUGUCUUCAGACACACCAGAAGAGGGCAUCAGAUCCCAUUACAGAUGGUUGUGAGCCACCAUGUGGUUGCUUGGGAUUGACCUCAGGACCUCUGGAAGAGCAGUCAGUCCUCUUAACCUCUGAGCCAGCUCUCCAGCCCAUAAGUUUGAGGCUAGCCUGGGCUUCAGAGUGGGUCACUCAAAAAUACAUACAUACAUACAUACAGAAAUAAAUUUAUGGUGGCAUACAGGCAGUUCUUAGUCAUGUCUAUGAAGGUUCCUCAAAUUCUUUAUGGUCAUGACAAAAAGAAACUUUAAUAACACAAUUAUAUAUGACAAAUAGGACCAGGGUGGUCUUGACAACCCCCCCCCCCACCUCUCAGGCAACACUGCCCACCCAGGUAGUCCAGGCAGGUCUUCGGAUGAAAGACAACCACCGCAGCCGUGGUGUACUGCACUGAAGGAGCUGCGCACAACAGUCACCUUGUAUGCUGCAGUACCCACUGCUGGGGUUAGCUCGGGCAUCUGGGAAGCACAGAUGGGAGGAAAGAUGUCUGAGGGUUAGGAUGUGGCACGGGAGAUCAGUCUGCUUCUGGGCAGGGAGUGGUUGUCUGCUGCAGCAAGAAGUGCGCUGGGAGCCCUAGGCCAGAGAGUGAGCUGUGUAUCAAACAACAAACCCACAAAGCCUUGAUCUGUGAAUGAGAAAAAUAAAAUGAAAGGUGCAGGACCUGUCUACUCCUCACAUAUGGGGAGGAUUUCUAUUGUAGAUAUAAGGGAGGGACCAGGCAGAGGCAAGCGUCCAGGAUGAACCUGAGAAUUGUAAGAAGACAGAGUCCUCGGUUGUUUAAUGAAAACAAGCUGUAUUUUGGGAUGCACCCGGGACUGGCCAGCUGGCUGCCGCUCCCUAAGUGGGAUUUGGCCUCUUGAAGGUGUUCCCAUGGAUGAGGGACCUGGCCUAACAUUGACCUACAUUGUUACAGAGAUGCAGCUGAAAGGGAAGAAGCAAGGGUAAGGAUAUAUACAUCAUGGGAAUAGGGUUGCAAGCGGUUUACAUCACAUUAAAGAGACAGGAACUCUUUUUUGUUUGUUUGGUUUUUUUUUCGAGACAAGGUUUCUCUGUAUAGCCCUGGAACUCACUUUGUAGACCAGGCUGGCCUCAAACUCAGAAAUCCGCCUGCCUCUGCCUCCCAAGUGCUGGGAUUAAAGGCAUGCACCACCGCGCCCGGCUGAGACAGGAACUUCUUUAAUUGCAGUUAGAAACCUUAACUUGAAAGGACUUAACACAGGAUAAACAGAAACUUCUUUAUAAGUGUCUUUUUAAAUAUAUAUGUUUAUAUUUGUUCUUUAAUCCUUUUUUACAGUCCAGACUGCAUCCCCCUCCCAGUCUGCACACACACCUCCCACACACAGUUCCUCAUCCCAUUCCUCCUUCCCCUCCCCUCCCCCUCUCCAAAAGGAUGUCCCCAUCCCCUACCCCCACCCUACCAGGCCUCCCUACUCCCUGGGGCCUCAAGUCUCUCAAGGGUUAGGUGCAUCUUCUCUCACUGAGGCUAAACCAGGCUCUGUUCUAUAUGUGUCAGGGGCCUCAUAUCAGCUGGUGUAUGCUGCCUGGUUGGUGGCUCAGUGUAUGAGAGAUCUUGGGAGUCCAGGUCAGUUGAGACUGUGGUCUUCCUAUGGGGUUGUCCUCCUCAGCUUCUUCCAACUUUUCCCCAAUUCAACCACAGGGGUUCCACAGGGUCUGUCCUUUGGUUGGGUCUGCAUCUGACUCUUUCAGCUGCUUGUUGGGUUUCUCAGAGGGCAGCCAUGUUAGGCCCCUAUCUGCAAGCACACCACAGCAUCAGUAAUAGUGUCAGGCCCUUGCUGGGGGCCAGCCCCAGCGUGGGGUUCUUUUUUCUUGUCGGCUCUUCUUGAGGCAAUGGAGGGGGAAGAGCAUCGAUGGAGGGUAAGACUUUGUCUUACAAGAUUUUUACGUAGCUUACCUGCCUUCUGCGAUCCCCUGAGGCCAGAAACUGCAGUUUCUGGCACUUAGCACCUCUCCCUCAAGCCACAAAGGAUUAAGUAAAUAGCCUUUGUUCUGUCUCAACAGGAACUGCUGCUGGGCUCUAACUUUCAGCCUGCUAGUGGGGAGUUGCAGAAAGACAAAGGUUUAUUACUAAGUUGUAAAAAGUUUCCUAUGAAAGCUAAGCAAAAAGAUCCUAAGUGGGGAAAGGGGAAAGAGCCUCCUUUCUCCAGCUCCUCCUCAUCUCUCUGUCCUCAGCACUUACACAGCUUUCCCAAAGUUCAUCACACGUUCACACACAAAAAAUCAAAUCAUAAAUUGAAGUAGAAGUUUACAACAGCGAAUGUUUCCAUGCAUAUCCAUUAGGAGUAACUAUCUGGCUAAACAUCCAUCACCUGUCUCAGCUCCACAGGUUCACUGAAGGGUUAAAACCAUAACUAAGUUAUUAGUGACGUUUUGUAUAGAUAAACCCAGUCAAUAUUUUAUCUUCUGUCCUAGCACCUAUAAUAAAUUGCUAGUUUUAUAACCUUUGGUUAAUUGUUUUACUACCUCUUGGAAUGUGCGCUGAGUAGGAGAAAGUCUGGUUACCGGCUAAGAGCAAUUAACUGGUGACACUUGGGAGACUAACACAGUUCUCAUUGCAGUUUUGACUAUUAGAAAAGGACCUAAUAGCAGUCCCACUAUAAAAGAGCUUAAUAAUCACAGAUAUAAUUUUAGGAAUUCUUUUUUUAAAAAGAUUUUAUUU